GACGAACGCUGGCGGCGUGCUUAACACAUGCAAGUCGAACGAGAGCGUAGAGAAAGCUUGCUUUUUCUACAAUCUAGUGGCAAACGGGUGAGUAACGCGUAAACAACCUGCCCUACGGAUGGGGACAACAGCUGGAAACGGCUGCUAAUACCGAAUACGUUCCGAAAGUCGCAUGACUAUCGGAAGAAAGGAUGGCCUCUAUUUAUAAGCGAUCGCCGGAGGAGGGGGUUGAGUCUGAUUAGCUGGUUGGGGGGGGAACGGCCCACCAAGGCGACGAUCAGUAGCCGGCCUGGAAGGCUGAACGGCCACAUUGGAACUGAGACACGGUCCAGACCCCUACGGGAGGCAGCAGUGGGGAAUCUUCCGCAAUGGGCGAAAGCCUGACGGAGCAACGCCGCGUGAGUGAAGACGGCCUUCGGGUUGUAAAGCUCUGUUAUACGGGACGAAUAAUCUUGUGGUUAAUACCCAUGAGAAGUGACGGUACCGUAAGAGAAAGCCACGGCUAACUACGUG
Molecule: ribosomal RNA, 513 nt
Filed under: uncultured bacterium
Lineage: Bacteria
Description: partial 16S ribosomal RNA
Rfam family: Bacterial small subunit ribosomal RNA
Source: RNAcentral